Molecule: ribosomal RNA, 305 nt
Filed under: uncultured bacterium
Lineage: Bacteria
Description: bacterial SSU rRNA
Rfam family: Bacterial small subunit ribosomal RNA
Source: RNAcentral
CAAUACCUACGGGAGGCAGCAGUGGGGAAUAUUGCACAAUGGGCGAAAGCCUGAUGCAGCAACGCCGCGUGAAGGAAGAAGGUCUUCGGAUCGUAAACUUCUGUCCUUGGGGAAGAUAAUGACGGUACCCUUGGAGGAAGCUCCGGCUAACUAUGUGCCAGCAGCCGCGGUAAUACAUAGGGAGCAAGCGUUAUCCGGAUUUAUUGGGUGUAAAGGGUGCGUAGACGGGAAAUUAAGUUAGUUGUGAAAUCCCUCAGCUUAACUGAGGAACUGCAACUAAAACUGAUUUUCUUGAGUACUGGAGG